AUUGAACGCUGGCGGCAUGCUUUACACAUGCCAGUCGAACGGCAGCGCGGGCUUCGGCCUGGCGGCGAGUGGCGAACGGGUGAGUAAUACAUCGGAACGUGCCCAGUAGUGGGGGAUAGCUCGGCGAAAGCCGGAUUAAUACCGCAUACGACCUGAGGGUGAAAGCGGGGGAUCUUCGGACCUCGCGCUAUUGGAGCGUCCGAUGGCAGAUUAGCUAGUUGGUGGGGUAAAGGCCUACCAAGGCGACGAUCUGUAGCUGGUCUGAGAGGACGACCAGCCACACUGGGACUGAGACACGGCCCAGACUCCUACGGGAGGCAGCAGUGGGGAAUUUUGGACAAUGGGCGAAAGCCUGAUCCAGCAAUGCCGCGUGCGUGAUGAAGGCCUUCGGGUUGUAAAGCACUUUUGGCGGGAACGAAAAGGACUGUGCCAAUACCACGGUUCGAUGACGGUACCCGCAGAAUAAGCACCGGCUAACUACGUG
This 484-nucleotide ribosomal RNA is filed under the name uncultured bacterium. RNAcentral describes it as "partial 16S ribosomal RNA". It matches the Rfam family "Bacterial small subunit ribosomal RNA", at positions 29 to 507 of the family's 1533-position model. The record is from RNAcentral.